This 920-nucleotide long non-coding RNA is filed under the name Marmota monax (woodchuck). The record is from RNAcentral. Lineage: Eukaryota; Metazoa; Chordata; Mammalia; Rodentia; Sciuridae.
AUUGCUUUGUUCAUCAAGGUCUCCCAACAUAAAAAAAUCCUCUGCUAAGGGGGCCAGGAAGAGGCCAUGUCAUGAUUGACCUGGAAACAAUCAGCAAUAGUUACUUCUCUCCAGCCAGGCACAUCCCGUUGCGCAAUAGGUAUGAUCUUGAUGAACAGAAGCAAAAUGACAGAAGCUAUUAAGGGACUGCAACACUACUACAAAUUUGAGAAGGUUCUGUAUCAGAUAUGGAGAAACUUCUAAUGGCCUGGAUUGUAGACCAACAUAUCCUCUUCAGCACCAUGAAGAUCACGGCCAAAGCAAAGAGUUUGUGAUAUUGAAAGAAAAGGCUGGACCUGCUGGGUACAGUGGCUCAUGCCUGUAAUCCCAGCGAUUCAGGAGGCUGAGGCAGGAGGAUCACAAGUUUGAGACCAGUCUGGACCAUUUAGCAAGAUAUCAUCUCAAAAUAAAAAGGGCUGACUCUAGCACAUGCAAGGUCCUGAGUUCAAUCCCCAGCAUUGCAAACAAACACACAAAAAAGAUUCCAUCAUUUAUAAUGAUGUUAUUCAUGACAUCAUGUGAGAGUCAGUGGUGAGUUUGGGAGCACUGAUGCAAAGGGAGAUGAAGAUUAUUUGGAAACUUCAAAUGAGUUGAUUGUGGAGGGAAAUUAUUUGCCGGAACAUAUCCUCAAUAUGGAUGAAAACUCCCUAUUCAAGGCCUGAAGGACUUUCAUACAUUGGGAGGUCAAGUCAACGCCAGGUUUCCAGACUUUUAAGGGCAGAACUAUAGUCUUGCUUGGGAGCAAAGUCGCAGGCUAUAAAUUGAAACCUUUGUGAACUGCCAAGUGAGAGCCCAGGGCCUGCAAGAACACCACUAAGUACACGCUGCCAGUGCAUGACAGAAGCAGCAGGAAGUCAGGAUUGCCAGUUGCCACACACCUG